UAAUACAUAGGGUGCAAGCGUUGUCCGGAAUUAUUGGGCGUAAAGAGCUCGUAGGUCGUUUGUUACGUCGGAUGUGAAAACCUGAGGCUCAGCCUCAGGCCUGCAUUCGAUACGGGCAAACUAGAGUUUGGUAGGGAGACUGGAAUUCCUGGUGUAGCGGUGGAAUGCGCAGAUAUCAGGAGGAACACCAAUGGCGAAGGCAGGUCUCUGGGCCAAUACUGACACUGAGGAGCGAAAGUCUGGGGAGCGAACAGGAUUAGAUACCCUGGUAGUCCCAGACCGUAAACGGUGGGCACUAGUUGUGGGAACCUUCCACGGUUUCUGCGACGCAGCUAACGCAUUAAGUGCCCCGCCUGGGGAGUACGAUCGCAAGAUUAAAACUCAAAGAAAUUGACGGGGGCCUGGCACAAGCGGAGGAGUAUGUGGCUUAAUUCGAUGCAACGCGAAGAACCUUACCUGGCCUUGACAUGUAGGUAGUAGGAGCCUGAAAAGGGUGACGAGGUAGCAAUACC
This 512-nucleotide ribosomal RNA is filed under the name uncultured Renibacterium sp. Its description in RNAcentral is "bacterial SSU rRNA". It matches the Rfam family "Bacterial small subunit ribosomal RNA", at positions 521 to 1026 of the family's 1533-position model. The record is from RNAcentral. Lineage: Bacteria; Bacillati; Actinomycetota; Actinomycetes; Micrococcales; Micrococcaceae.